AGGAGGGACAACCGCAGUGGCGGGGCCAGCUCUGCAGCCCUGGAUUCAGCCCCCGCAGUAGCUCCGGAGCUCUCCGUCUGCAGGGCCUGGAGGCUCCGGGGCGGG
RNAcentral lists this microRNA precursor (105 nucleotides) under Canis lupus familiaris (dog). RNAcentral's name for it is "mir-8834 microRNA precursor family". It matches the Rfam family "mir-8834 microRNA precursor family". RNAcentral also lists the same sequence under 1 other name. Lineage: Eukaryota; Metazoa; Chordata; Mammalia; Carnivora; Canidae. The record is from Rfam by way of RNAcentral.